Arachis ipaensis is the source of this 325-nucleotide non-coding RNA. The record is from RefSeq and is a predicted model, not a curated record. NCBI's taxonomy places the organism in Eukaryota, Viridiplantae, Streptophyta, Magnoliopsida, Fabales, Fabaceae.
CUUUCAAGAAAGCCGGAGAUGUUUGCCGGACUGCAGUUCACCAGCUCUCCGGUCACCAGGAAAGGCGAAGGGAUGAGUUUACAAGAAUGAGAUUGCAGCUUAGAAUUCCUGCAAUUGAAAGGGUUUUUUUUACAUGUGAAGAUUCUGUACAGUAUUUUGAAAAUGGAUUUCAUAUUCUUAAAGUUCUUUCCAACUGCUGAGGAGUCAAUGGAUUACUAUAAUGAAAAAUGAUGUGUUGAUGGAAAAGGACUUGUUCUGCCCAGUCAGAUUGUAAGGUCAGCUUUGCUAUGUGCUAGUUCGGCCGAAAAUUGGGGAUUCUGGAGUA